This 460-nucleotide ribosomal RNA is filed under the name uncultured bacterium. RNAcentral describes it as "partial 16S ribosomal RNA". It matches the Rfam family "Bacterial small subunit ribosomal RNA", at positions 338 to 795 of the family's 1533-position model. The record is from RNAcentral.
CCUACGUGCGGCAGCAGUGAGGAAUAUUGGUCAAUGGCCGGAAGGCUGAACCAGCCAUGCCGCGUGAAGGUCAGUGCCCUAUGGGCGUUAAACUUCUUUUGUGCGGGAGCAAUCAUGGUCACGUGUGGCCAGACGAGAGUACCGUACGAAUAAGCAUCGGCUAACUUCGUGCCAGCAGCCGCGGUAAUACGGGGGAUGCAAGCGUUAUCCGGAGUUAUUGGGGUUAAAGGGUGCGUAGGCUGGGAGGUAAGUAAGUGGGGAAAUGCCCCCGCUCAACGGGGUGAAGUGCCAUUGAUACUGCCUGGCUGGAAUGCGGAUGCCGUAGGAGGAAUGUGUGGUGUAGCGGUGAAAUGCAUAGAUAUCACACAGAACACCGAUUGCGAAGGCAUCUCACGAAUCCGCGAUUGACGCUGAUGCACGAAAGCGUGGGUAUCAAACAGGAUUAGAUACCCUGGUAGUC